RNAcentral lists this ribosomal RNA (371 nucleotides) under uncultured organism. RNAcentral's name for it is "partial 16S ribosomal RNA". It matches the Rfam family "Bacterial small subunit ribosomal RNA", at positions 527 to 896 of the family's 1533-position model. The record is from RNAcentral.
GUAGGUGGCAAGCGUUGUCCGGAAUCAUUGGGCGUAAAGCGCGCGCAGGCGGUUCUUUAAGUCUGAUGUGAAAGCCCACGGCUCAACCGUGGAGGGUCAUUGGAAACUGGAGAACUUGAGUACAGAAGAGGAAAGCGGAAUUCCACGUGUAGCGGUGAAAUGCGUAGAGAUGUGGAGGAACACCAGUGGCGAAGGCGGCUUUCUGGUCUGUAACUGACGCUGAGGCGCGAAAGCGUGGGGGAGCAAACAGGAUUAGAUACCCUGGUAGUCCACGCCGUAAACGAUGAGUGCUAAGUGUUAGGGGGUUUCCGCCCCUUAGUGCUGCAGCUAACGCAUUAAGCACUCCGCCUGGGAGUACGGCCGCAAGGCUG